Molecule: ribosomal RNA, 378 nt
Filed under: uncultured bacterium
Lineage: Bacteria
Description: bacterial SSU rRNA
Rfam family: Bacterial small subunit ribosomal RNA
Source: RNAcentral
AUUGAACGCUGGCGGCAUGCUUUACACAUGCAAGUCGAACGGGCUUGGGGGCUUGCUCCCAAGUUAGUGGCGAACGGGUGAGUAAUACAUCGGAACGUACCGUGUAGUGGGGGAUAACUUAGCGAAAGUUAGGCUAAUACCGCAUACGAUCUACGGAUGAAAGUGGGGGACCUUCGGGCCUCACGCUAUACGAGCGGCCGAUGUCUGAUUAGCUAGUUGGUGAGGUAAAGGCUCACCAAGGCGACGAUCAGUAGCGGGUCUGAGAGGAUGAUCCGCCACACUGGGACUGAGACACGGCCCAGACUCCUACGGGAGGCAGCAGUGGGGAAUUUUGGACAAUGGGCGAAAGCCUGAUCCAGCCAUGCCGCGUGUCUGAAG